RNAcentral lists this ribosomal RNA (302 nucleotides) under uncultured fungus. RNAcentral's name for it is "eukaryotic LSU rRNA". The stretch from base 1 to 113 matches the Rfam family "5.8S ribosomal RNA", at positions 47 to 154 of the family's 154-position model. The record is from RNAcentral. Lineage: Eukaryota; Fungi.
AGCGAAAUAGCGAUAGUAAUAGUGAAUUGCAGAAUUCAGUGAGUCAUCGAAUCUUUGUAACGCACAUUGCGCCCUCUCGGUAUUCCGGGGGGGCGAUGCCUGUUCGAGCGUCAUUACAACCCUCAAGCUCUGCUUGGUAUUAGGCUUCACCCUUAGGGGCGGGCCUCAAAAUCAGUGGCGGUGCCAUUCGGCUUCAAGCGUAGUAAUUUUCUCGCUUUGGAGGACCGGGUGUGUGUUUGCCAAUAACCCCAAAUUUUUUAAAGGUUGACCUCGGAUCAGGUAGGGAUACCCGCUGAACUUAA